UGGGGAAUAUUGGACAAUGGGCGAAAGCCUGAUCCAGCCAUGCCGCGUGUGUGAAGAAGGUCUUCGGAUUGUAAAGCACUUUAAGUUGGGAGGAAGGGCAGUAAAUUAAUACUUUGCUGUUUUGACGUUACCGACAGAAUAAGCACCGGCUAACUCUGUGCCAGCAGCCGCGGUAAUACAGAGGGUGCAAGCGUUAAUCGGAAUUACUGGGCGUAAAGCGCGCGUAGGUGGUUCGUUAAGUUGGAUGUGAAAUCCCCGGGCUCAACCUGGGAACUGCAUUCAAAACUGACGAGCUAGAGUAUGGUAGAGGGUGGUGGAAUUUCCUGUGUAGCGGUGAAAUGCGUAGAUAUAGGAAGGAACACCAGUGGCGAAGGCGACCACCUGGACUGAUACUGACACUGAGGUGCGAAAGCGUGGGGAGCAAACAGGAUUAGAUACCCGGGUAGUCCCUGAGCGGGCUGGCAAGGCGCAU
Molecule: ribosomal RNA, 472 nt
Filed under: uncultured bacterium
Lineage: Bacteria
Description: bacterial SSU rRNA
Rfam family: Bacterial small subunit ribosomal RNA
Source: RNAcentral